UGGGGAAUAUUGCACAAUGGGCGCAAGCCUGAUGCAGCCAUGCCGCGUGUGUGAAGAAGGCCUUCGGGUUGUAAAGCACUUUCAGCGAGGAGGAAGGGUAGUGUGUUAAUAGCACAUUGCAUUGACGUUACUCGCAGAAGAAGCACCGGCUAACUCCGUGCCAGCAGCCGCGGUAAUACGGAGGGUGCAAGCGUUAAUCGGAAUUACUGGGCGUAAAGCGCACGCAGGCGGUUUGUUAAGUCAGAUGUGAAAUCCCCGCGCUUAACGUGGGAACUGCAUUUGAAACUGGCAAGCUAGAGUCUUGUAGAGGGGGGUAGAAUUCCAGGUGUAGCGGUGAAAUGCGUAGAGAUCUGGAGGAAUACCGGUGGCGAAGGCGGCCCCCCUGGACAAAGACUGACGCUCAGGUGCGAAAGCGUGGGGAGCAAAACAGGAUUAGAUACCCUGGUAGUCCACGCUGUAAACGAUGUCGACUUGGAGGUUGUGCCCUUGAGGCGUGGCUUCCGGAGCUAACGCGUUAAGUCGACCGCCUGGGGGAGUACGGCCGCAAGGUUA
Molecule: ribosomal RNA, 552 nt
Filed under: uncultured bacterium
Lineage: Bacteria
Description: partial 16S ribosomal RNA
Rfam family: Bacterial small subunit ribosomal RNA
Source: RNAcentral